RNAcentral lists this ribosomal RNA (508 nucleotides) under uncultured bacterium. Its description in RNAcentral is "partial 16S ribosomal RNA". It matches the Rfam family "Bacterial small subunit ribosomal RNA", at positions 28 to 523 of the family's 1533-position model. The record is from RNAcentral.
GAUGAACGCUAGCUACAGGCUUAACACAUGCAAGUCGAGGGGAAACGAUAGAGAAAGCUUGCUUUUUCUAGGCGUCGACCGGCGCACGGGUGAGUGACGCGUAUCCAACCUGCCCAUCACUUGGGGAUAACCUUGCGAAAGUAAGACUAAUACCCAAUGACGUCCAUAGAAGACAUCUGAAAUGGAUUAAAGAUUUAUCGGUGAUGGAUGGGGAUGCGUCUGAUUAGCUUGUUGGCGGGGUAACGGCCCACCAAGGCGACGAUCAGUAGGGGUUCUGAGAGGAAGGUCCCCCAUAUUGGAACAGAGACACGGACCAAACGCCUACGGGAGGCAGCAGUGAGGAAUAUUGGUCAAUGGACGAGAGUCUGAACCAGCCAAGUAGCGUGCAGGAUGACGGCCCUAUGGGUUGUAAACUGCUUUUAUAAGGGAAUAAAGUGAGUCUCGUGAGACUUUUUGCGUGUACCUUAUGAAUAAGGACCGGCUAAUUCCGUGCCAGCCGCCGCCGUAA